Molecule: non-coding RNA, 134 nt
Filed under: Eutreptiella gymnastica
Lineage: Eukaryota; Euglenozoa; Euglenophyceae; Eutreptiales; Eutreptiaceae
Source: RNAcentral
GUACAAUGAAUGAAAUAAAAUAGUCUGACAUUUGGCCCUGCAUUUUUUUAUAGGUACAAUGAAAGAAAUAAAAUAGUCUGACAUUUGGCCCUGCAUUUUUUUACAUGUACAAUAAAUAAAAUAGUCUGACAUAA